Molecule: RNase P RNA, 348 nt
Filed under: Armatimonadota bacterium
Lineage: Bacteria; Bacillati; Armatimonadota
Description: Armatimonadetes bacterium (hot springs metagenome) RNase P RNA component class A
Rfam family: Bacterial RNase P class A
About the family: Ribonuclease P (RNase P) is a ubiquitous endoribonuclease, found in archaea, bacteria and eukarya as well as chloroplasts and mitochondria.
Source: RNAcentral
UGAGCGAGCUGGAUGGUCGCCUCGGUUAAUACCGGGGAGGAAAGUCCGGGCUCCAGAGGGCAGGAUGCUGGAUAGCGUCCAGCGGGCGCAAGCCUAGGGAAAGUGCCACAGAAAAGAAAACGGCCCCUGCUUUGUGCAGGGACCAGAGCUGAAACGGUGGUGUAAGAGACCACCGGCGGUGUGGUGACACACCGGCCUGGUAAACCCCAUCCGGAGCAAGGCCUAAUAGGAGAGGGUUGAAGCUGCCCGCCGACCUCUCGGGUGUAGGCCGCUUGAGAGACGGAGUAAUCCGCCUCGUAGAGAGAUGACCAUCCUAGACAGAACCCGGCUUGCAGGCUCGCUCACUUC